UACUGGAGUAUCUCUGUGUGCACCUUUUGGCUGAGGACCGCCGCAGACUCGGUGCUGAUACGUACAGCCAAAAGUUUGAUUACCGGCCAGCUGCCAAGUACAUCUCACCUGAGACCAAGGCUCAGUUUAGUAGAGGAUCACGUGACUACUGUGUUGAAGUUUUGGACCCAUUUUUGAGAGAGCCCACAUGUUCCCAAGAAACUCAUGAUUUCAUGUUUUGAUAUGGGAAUGGGAAACUGUGCUAUUAUCUAUACGUUUGCAGCCCUGGUAACUCUAUGGAUGAAAAUGUCAUGUCCAAUAAUUUAGAUUACGACGAUGAAGAUCCUCUGCUUGACAUGUGAUUCAACACCUUUACCUGGAUAUUGGACAAGUUGAGGCAUACUCAAUAGAUUCUCCACAUCAUAGAGAAUGGCACUUGUUUGCUAGAGUGGUCAAUGAUGCCGAAUGUGAGGAAUAUAUCUAAUUUUUAAAAAAUGCAAAAGUAACUGCUCAUUUCAUUACAAUGUCUGGAAUCCCACAGCCGUACCUGAGCAUAUUAAUUAAAGUAUCAAAAUAUUUGGUUGAAAAUUUACUCUGUUGUGCAAGUGGUAACAUGAAAGUAUAACAUACAUUUUGCCAUCCCUGGAGGGAUAAAAACAACGUCAAUUGGAUAUUUAAAGAAAUCUCCCUUUAACCAUUGGAUAAUUUGAAUGGUGUGCUAAUUUAGUUAGGAAACCACAUAAUUGCCUGAAGCAUGAAAUCCCACACACACACACAUUCUCAAAUUUGUACCUAUCACGCGAAAUGUAUCCUACUUAGACCAAAUGGUGAUGUGAUGCUUUGCAGUUAACUGAUACAAUUCACAUUCAGUCCAACAUAUAACUUUUAAGGCAAAAAUGAAUUAAGUAAAAGAAAUCCGCAAAGUAUAUUUCAGUGAAGAUUUCUAAUAUCGGAUUGUUCACUGCAAAUUGGAUUUUAUUCUGAUAGAAAAAUUUGCAAGCUUAAAAAUUGCUGCAGGCGGAAUUGGUCUGUGACAGCAAUAGAUUCAAGUUUGUUCAUGAUAUUUGAGUUCCUAUAUUAAUCUCAUGUGAAUUCCCAAUCUUUAUUUCACUGUCUUGUAAAAUGAUUAGAAAGGAGUCAGAAUGGGUGCUUUUUUUUUAACUUCUUAGCUUGUUAUUUGUGAGAAUUUUUUAAAGCUGAAUGAUUGUUAAGUCUGUUUGAUGAUUUCCGUAUUCCUGAAUGUCAAUUGGCACCAGAAUGAAAUUAACAUUGUACUCUGUGAAAUUGACCCCACAGAGCUCACUGAAUCUCUCAGGGCAGCCUUCUUCUUCAUUUCUACUUAGUGUUGUAGUGUGCUGACCAUUUUUGUUAUUUUAAUGUGUCCAUUUCUGUUGCUGAGCUCCAUUAAGAAGGCUUAGUAACUGUUGCGAAUUCCAAACUUUCAUCCCUUAGGUUUCUGCCCCCGGAGAUCUCAUACUGUCAUACUCAGUUCACCAAGGCUGUCACUUCCAAUCCUGGAUCUGCAGACACUUUUCAGGGGUCCACAAAAUAAUUGAGAUAGACUUGAUGUCAGCCAGGAGGCAAAAGUAGAAAGCAUUUGCCACAUAAGCAACACAGAGUUGUUUGGUUGUUUCACCAAGGAGCCAAGUGCAUGUGUAUGAAGGCUAAGGGAAGCACAAAGAUUGGCAGAAAGAUCCAGAGUUACUGAGGAAGAUUGGGAUGCAAGGCUUCUCCAAAAGGGGGCAGUUUUUAAAAUAAUAUUUAAUUACUGUCUCCUGUGUAGUGAGAAACAGGCACACCCAUUUGUAUGUAAAUACCUGUUUCUUGAAAGUAUUCAAGUUAUCUACAGAGGGUGUCGAUUUACAUACCAGAACUGAUGGAAAGCUUUGAUCUUACUUGCCUAAGAUCCAAGAUAAAGGUGUGUCAAGUUCUCAUUGGAGAGCUACUAUCUGCUGACUAUGUCAGACUGGUAUUCGAUGUUGGAGAAACGUCUUUAGAGGCAAGACUCUGCCAGACACAUAUGGAGAUUGGUUUGACCGUCAGCAUUAGGAAUCCAAGUAUCAUAGUCCAGAAUGUGCCAUAUUGUCAUGGAUCAGGAUUGACAACAUGAAGUUGGAGGUGUUUGAUAACUUCACAUAUCUAGGCUGUGCAAUCACUAACAAUCUGUCUCUUGAUGCUAAGAUCAACACACACCUCAUAAAAACUGCAACUUCUUAUGUCCAAGUUGAGUAAGUGUAGAACAACAGCAAGCUGACUGAGGAAACACAAACUGCGAGUCCACCAAACUUGCAUCCUUAGCGAACUUUUCUACAGUGGUGAGAUCUAGACUAGAGGCAGGAGAUGGGGGCUGAACAGUUUCCACCUUCACUAUUUCAGAUAUAUUCUUGGCACCUCUUGGCAGGACAAGGUCACCAAUUUAGCGUAGACACAUUGUGAAGUCAACAAUGUCUGUAUUGGCUCAUGCAGUUGUGCUUGUUAGAAUAAUGAUGGCUGAAAAUCUGUUGUAUAAUGAACUGGCCUCUGGGACACAACCUCCUGGGUACCUUAACCUCUGCUACAAGGACACUUCCAAGUGAGAAAUGAAAAUAUUAGCUGAUAACUGGGAGACAGUCGCUGCCAGUUGGGAACUCUGGAAGCAGAUGAUUUUGAAGGGCAUCAGAAGAGGCAAGCAGAAACAAAAAUCUCAAGAAACAGGCCUAAAGAAAACAGAGGCCAACAAAUUGUACACAUUAGCUCACUGCCAUCUUCUUCAGUAUUGCAAUGAGGAGCUCCUGAGCCAUACCAGACAAUACUUAACACAAGCACCAAAGCAUAAACUAUUGUCUUAUGAUAUAAAUCACUGCCAUCAUGGAAAAAGUCUUUGAAUAUAGUGCUUUCAUGUUAUAAGUAUUAUACAGUAUAAUUUAGAUCAGAAGUCUGAUUAUUAAUUUCAAUGAAUUUCAACCAGAUUGUUUGAGAACCUAAAGUAACCUGCAAUCUUAUUUCACUGUUUGUAAUUCGAGGUCACAGAGUCUUGAGUUUUUAAUCAGGUUCCAAACUGAAGUACCAAAUUUGUUUUGCUUUAUUACAAAGCAAAAAUAUUUGCAGAGCAACAUAAUUCUUACACAAUUUUUAGCUGCUGAACUCGCAGAGUUUUUAAAGAUUAAAUGUACAUUUGUA
Molecule: long non-coding RNA, 3138 nt
Organism: Rhincodon typus (whale shark)
Lineage: Eukaryota; Metazoa; Chordata; Chondrichthyes; Orectolobiformes; Rhincodontidae
Exons: 3
Source: RefSeq, a predicted model, not a curated record